This 441-nucleotide ribosomal RNA is filed under the name uncultured bacterium. Its description in RNAcentral is "partial 16S ribosomal RNA". It matches the Rfam family "Bacterial small subunit ribosomal RNA", at positions 338 to 795 of the family's 1533-position model. The record is from RNAcentral.
CCUACGGGAGGCAGCAGUGGGGGAUAUUGCACAAUGGGGGGAACCCUGAUGCAGCGACGCCGCGUGGGUGAAGGAGCGUUUCGGCGCGUAAAGCCCUAUCGGCAGGGAAGAAGGAGGACGGUACCUGACUAAGAAGCCCCGGCUAACUACGUGCCAGCAGCCGCGGUAAUACGUAGGGGGCAAGCGUUAUCCGGAUUCACUGGGCGUAUAGGGAGCGCAGGCGGCAUGGCAAGUCUGAUGUGAAAACCCGGGGCCCAACCCCGGGAGUGCAUUGGAAACUGCCAGGCUGGAGUGUCGGAGGGGUAAGCGGAAUUCCUAGUGUAGCGGUGAAAUGCGUAGAUAUUAGGAGGAACACCAGUGGCGAAGGCGGCUUACUGGACGACUACUGACGCUGAGGCUCGAAAGCGUGGGGAGCAAACAGGAUUAGAUACCCCAGUAGUC